Long non-coding RNA from Vollenhovia emeryi, 841 nucleotides. RefSeq lists it as uncharacterized. The transcript has 3 exons. NCBI's taxonomy places the organism in Eukaryota, Metazoa, Arthropoda, Insecta, Hymenoptera, Formicidae. The record is from RefSeq and is a predicted model, not a curated record.
AUGUAUAUUAAUCAGAUUUACGAAUUUUACAACAGUUGCAAAGCAGCUUUCUCUGCUGCCCCAUGUAAGGUUUGCCGAAGUAGGCAACGUGGCCAUUGUUUGGUCCAUUAUCGCAUAGCCAAAGUUUAGACGCCUAAGUUCGGCCAAUAUUCGGCAACAUAUCUUGUCCCCAACAUUGGUAAUUCUACUUAAGGCCGAUAUUUGGUUCGUCAUACAUGAACCUAUUUUGGCAUACCUAAAUAAAACCAUUUUUUGGCUGGGCACUACCAAGCCACAUUGCUAGCAGAGGUCCGGCAAAACACAGCCAGUGUUAGAAUUAACGAGUGCCCGAUCUGUGUGCACGUGUACGAUACACGUAAGAUACCCGCCUGUACAGGUUUCUCCCGGUAGUAGAAGACACCCCGCGCUCGCUGCGUGGAGACCUACCCAAAUCAGCCAGGAGUCGACGGUGCCGAACAUGAGAUGUUUGGCGGCCAACGCCUCCUGAACCCGAGGCACGUUCUCCAGUUAUAGCCAUUUCAAUUUUAACGCGCUAAAGUACGGACUAAUCGGCAGGCCGCAGAGCGGCUUCAGAAUUGGACACCGGGCUUCAUUCGAACGGGGCUUAACGAGUGCCGCCUUGAGCGUUCGUUUGAAAAACAGCCCACUGUGACGCAUCAUCAAGGCGCAAGAAAUCACGGCUGGACAGGCUCGAAACGCGGUGUUAAUAUAAGGAAACGCCGCUCCUUUUGCGUGGAAAUAGAAGCUGUAAUAGAACGUUGUUUCUCGGCGGCGGGGAAAAGAUUCUCGCCCGGCGGCGUUUCCAAUCGACCGCAUCGCGCGCGCGGUCGCCGCAGAUGUA